GGUCAUUUAGAGGAAGUAAAAGUCGUAACAAGGUUUCCGUAGGUGAACCUGCGGAAGGAUCAUUAAAUAAAACUUGAGGGGAAACUGAGCUUACGGGCUUGGUUUUUCUCUUAUUUUUUACCGUGAACUGUCUUAUAGCAUGGCGCUMGUAGAGAUGCCUGAGCCACCAUACGGGGUAGGCGGCACAGGAUGAUUUUAAUCGAAGCCAUGGAUCAAGCCGACUUUUUUUNNCAGCUUGGUACCCCAAAAAUUAAUUAUUCUACCAAAUGAAUUCAGUAUUAAUAUUGUAACAUGGGCUCGCUGAAAGGUGGCCUAUAAAACAACUUUUAACAACGGAUCUCUUGGUUCUCGCAUCGAUGAAGAACGUAGCAAAGUGCGAUAACUAGUGUGAAUUGCAUAUUCAGUGAAUCAUCGAGUCUUUGAACGCAUCUUGCACCUGCUGGUAUUCCAGCAGGUACGCCUGUUUCAGUAUCAGAAACAACUCUUCCCUUAAGAUUUUUUUCUUAAGGGGACAUUGAGGGUAUCUGGCUUAGAAGUAAAAUCUCUAGCCCGGAGACGCUUUAAAUGACUAAAGGCCUGCAAGCCAAAGUUUGAUUGCGCCUGAACUUUUUCUUAAUUUCAAGCGAAAGCUCUUGCGAACUAGAACUUUAUUAUUGCCUUGGGGGCCUCCCAAAGAAAACAUUCAACAACUUGAUCUGAAAUCAGGUGGGAUUACCCGCUGAACUUAAGCAUAUCAAUAAGCGGAGGA
Molecule: ribosomal RNA, 748 nt
Filed under: Actinomucor sp. F34
Lineage: Eukaryota; Fungi; Mucoromycota; Mucoromycetes; Mucorales; Mucoraceae
Description: eukaryotic LSU rRNA
Rfam family: 5.8S ribosomal RNA (bases 322-474)
Source: RNAcentral